Molecule: ribosomal RNA, 458 nt
Filed under: uncultured bacterium
Lineage: Bacteria
Description: bacterial SSU rRNA
Rfam family: Bacterial small subunit ribosomal RNA
Source: RNAcentral
GCCUAACACAUGCAAGUCGAACGGAGUAAUGACUUCGGUUAUACUUAGUGGCGAACGGGUGAGUAACACGUGAAUAAUCUGCCCUGUACGAUGGGAUAACAGCUGGAAACGGCUGCUAAUACCGUAUAUGACCACGCCGAGGCAUCUCGGAGGGGUGAAAGCGCUUAAGCGGUACAGGAUGAGUUCGCGUCCAAUUAGCUAGUUGGUGAGGUAACGGCCCACCAAGGCGACGAUUGGUAGCCGACCUGAGAGGGUGAUCGGCCACACUGGAACUGAGACACGGUCCAGACUCCUACGGGAGGCAGCAGUGGGGAAUAUUGGGCAAUGGAGGAAACUUCCUUACCCAGCAAUGCCGCGUGAGUGAUGAAGGUCUUCGGAUUGUAAAGCUCUUUGAUUGGGGACGAAUAAAUGACGGUACCCAAGGAACAAGCCCCGGCUAACUAUGUGCCAGCCGCCGC